GUGUGCUUGCUUCAGCACACAUAUUCUAAAGGACAGGGAACAAUACAGAGGAGAUUACUAUGGCCCCUGUACAUACAGGGUGGUACACAAAUUCCUAAAACACUCCUUGUGUUU
RNAcentral lists this small nuclear RNA (114 nucleotides) under Peromyscus maniculatus bairdii (prairie deer mouse). The record is from RNAcentral. Lineage: Eukaryota; Metazoa; Chordata; Mammalia; Rodentia; Cricetidae.